UGAAGAUUCCAUUAUUUCAAUGGGGCCAGGUUUCCAGCCAUCCUGAGUAGAAACCUAAUAUCGAUGCAUGGUUUAAGCGAUUUCAGAACAAAUUUGAGUGGGGUAGGGCGGACAACAAUGUUGUGAGGAAGGUAUGGGAGAAUCACGCGGCAACUAGGUUGCGUGAUUUUUUGUAUGACA
Molecule: long non-coding RNA, 180 nt
Organism: Populus euphratica (Euphrates poplar)
Lineage: Eukaryota; Viridiplantae; Streptophyta; Magnoliopsida; Malpighiales; Salicaceae
Exons: 3
Source: RefSeq, a predicted model, not a curated record